GACCAGACUCCUACGGGAGGCAGCAGUGGGGGAUAUUGCACAAUGGGGGGAACCCUGAUGCAGCGACGCCGCGUGGGUGAAGAAGCGCCUCGGCGCGUAAAGCCCUGUCAGCAGGGAAGAAAAUGACGGUACCUGAAGAAGAAGCCCCGGCUAACUACGUGCCAGCAGCCGCGGUAAUACGUAGGGGGCAAGCGUUAUCCGGAUUUACUGGGUGUAAAGGGGGCGCAGACGGCGAUGCAAGCCAGGAGUGAAAGCCCGGGGCCCAACCCCGGGACUGCAUUGGAAACGGCCGGGCUGGAGUGCCGGAGGGGCAGGCGGAAUUCCUGGUGUAGCGGUGAAAUGCGCAGAUAUCAGGAAGAACACCGGUGGCGCAGGCGGCUUGCUGGACGGCAACUGACGCUGAGGCUCGAAAGCGUGGGGAGCAAACAGGAUUAGAUACCCUCGUAA
RNAcentral lists this ribosomal RNA (447 nucleotides) under uncultured bacterium. RNAcentral describes it as "bacterial SSU rRNA". It matches the Rfam family "Bacterial small subunit ribosomal RNA", at positions 329 to 793 of the family's 1533-position model. The record is from RNAcentral.